GGGGGCGUGGCGGAACUGGAAUUCGCAGAGGGCUUAAAACCCUCCGCCCGCAAGGGCAUGCAGGUUCGAAUCCUGCCGCCCCUACCA
Molecule: transfer RNA, 87 nt
Filed under: Candidatus Rokuibacteriota bacterium
Lineage: Bacteria; Candidatus Rokuibacteriota
Description: Candidatus Rokubacteria bacterium tRNA-Leu
Rfam family: tRNA
About the family: Transfer RNA (tRNA) molecules are approximately 80 nucleotides in length. Their secondary structure includes four short double-helical elements and three loops (D, anti-codon, and T loops).
Source: RNAcentral